This is a non-coding RNA of Ictidomys tridecemlineatus (thirteen-lined ground squirrel), 2718 nucleotides long. The record is from RefSeq and is a predicted model, not a curated record. NCBI's taxonomy places the organism in Eukaryota, Metazoa, Chordata, Mammalia, Rodentia, Sciuridae.
UCACAAUAUUCCGCGUCGUUUGCAUUUGCAUCCCAUUGUCUCCAGGGCGAGUUCUCGCGACUCAUUUGCGAGGCAAUGAGUAACAGAGAUGUAACGGAGCGCGGCUCCCGGUCUGGAGCCUCACCUCUUGUGGGGAUGCAGCUCUGCUGAAGGCUGGCCCUCGGGUUCUGGGGAGGCCUGCAGGAAGCAGGUGUUUAUGACCCAAUGAACUAAACAAAAAGCCUCAUCCGCUGACAAUUAACUAAGGAGCAAGACCCAGCAGGAGGUGAGUGGCCCUGCUCCACCACAUGUCCCUUGCAGUGAUGUGCUGCCCCCCUACAGGCCGAAGGCAGUGGGGCCAGUGGAUCAAGCCUGACAAUGCAAGCUGCCUUCUGCUUCUCCGUGUCCUCAGUGUGGCCAGCAGGAGCUGGAAGAUACUUUCACCGCGCUCAUUUUUAGAGAUAAUGGCUCAGAGAAAUUCUGUCGCCUGCCCCAGGAUGAUUCCAGCCCUGUGACAUUACAUCUGGGCUUUUGACCUCCAUACCACGCGCUGCCUCUCCUGACUCAUGAAAUCGUAAGCAGGCCUAAGACACCUGAGGGACGCAGCAGAGGUGGAGCGUAUUUACUGACCUACGAGAGCCACCGACAAGCAGGUGGUGGUGGUGGGGACAUUGACAAAGGAAGUUGAGACAAGAGCCCCGUGGUGACAGAUUCCAAAGCAAAGAGAACAGGAGAACAGAGAGCCGAAAAGAGAAAGUCAAGCUUUCCCAAGAGGGCAUGGCGGUUACCACCGCUUCCGUUUCCUCUGGAAGCCAGGAUCAACAUUCUUGUCAAAUGAAAAGUACGCCAGUGGAAAUACCACUCUUUGACACCAUCCUGUUGCUAAGGGUUGUGUUGAAGAACAAAUGUGAUAAUGUACCUGAAAGCUUUUGGAAGAGCUUCAAGUGUUAUGUAAAUGAAAGGUGGUAAUUAAAAACCUCCAGAGAAGGGCAGCCUAUCUCAGUCAUCAAUUAUCAUGUUUUCUUCCUUGUCAGGAAACCUAUAUUUUUCAUGCUUCUUGGGGGUAUAGAUAGCUCUCUGCAAAUUUUUUUUUUUUGUUUGGGAAAUGUGUGAAGAAAAGGAUCAUCCUGACAGCUCAAAACCUAUUUAUGAUAAGAAAUCACCACAUAUAAAUUGACGAGACCAAAGGCAGAUGCAGUCUCAUGUGAAAUUGUGAAAAUUCAUACCUCCAUUUAUUGGUUUUUGUAUUUAGUUAUAAGGAGAUGGAAUAUUUAACUGGCAUAACACACACAAAGCUCAACUCUUUAAAUAAGAAAGUGGUAUAGAAAUUGACUUAUUACCUAGAAAAACAGAAAAAGACUUCUGGGGGGGAAAAAAAAAACAUGAAAAAUAGGAGCAUCAAUCAAAAGGCUUGGUAUGUUCCCAAACACUGGGAACUUGGAUAUGGGGACACACCUGGAAAAUCUGAACUCAUUCUUUGUGCACAUUAUAUUUUUGAUGAAAGUUAGUUAUAUUUCUGAAUGAAAAAACCAAAAUGGAAUUAGAAGGAGCAUAGCUCCUGAGAUAGCCGGAGGGCACAGUGGCUCCUCUUGGCUUUAGGAACACUUGGCCUGGAAUUCCAACUCUGCUGCUCAUAAGGAACUUCUGCUUCUACGGAGUCAUGGCAUAUGAACUACCCCGUGUCCUAGGCAUUGCGUGGCUGGACACUGAAUAACGACGUCUGAAUAAGACUGGUCAAUGUAACAUUUAUGUCUAACUGCCACAGAAUGUCUUCCUUGGGUGUGGAGCUGAGGGUCGAACCUAGGGCCUGGUGCGUGCUAGACAAGCCCACUACUACUGAGCCACAUCCCCAGGCUUAACUGCCGUGGACUUUCUAAACUUUCCUUCGGUCAUAUGACCUUUCAGCACAGAUAAAUAGGGACAUGUACCAUUUUUGAGCUUCAUCUUCUCAUUUUUCUUGCCAAAGAUGCUCACGGAAAGCAAAUGGGAUUGACUGGGUCGUUGAGAAGUUGAGUUGGAGAAAGGCAAGACAGUACCUGGAUGAUUAGCUCCAUCCAGGGAAGGAAAUCCAGAGCUCACCACUUGAAGCAUGCUCAGGAGUACAGAAUUUAAGCUCUGAGAUGACUGGGAAGGUUAAAUCUGUCGGGGACGGCACAACACUGACAUUCAACCACGUGGAGGUCCUUAAUUAGCUACCAGGAAUUGGUGUGUGCCACAAGGUGGAAAGGGAGUCAAACCUUUGACUCAGAGCUGUCCAGAACUUACCAACUUACAUGGAGAGCCUCAGUUCCAUAAUUUAUUUUCAGAUCUAAGCUGCAUGGUUAGAGAGCUUUAACCUAGCACAAUUGGCCCCUCGCUAAGCUUGUUUUUAGUGAUCUAGGUUCAGCAUCUUGUCAUUAGCCUCUAUUGAGGGAUGGUGAAAGAUGUGACCCUGUGGUUCUCUCUGUGGCAGGGACCCUGUCCUUCCCAGAGUGCUCCCUGACCAUGUGCUUGUGGCUCUCAAACCUCUCCUCUACACUGUGAGUAGAGAUGUUUUGGACACAGUUUAGUAUCACUUAAUGAAGAGGAGACUUUCUGAGACAUGCGUUGUUAGGCGAUCUUAUCAUUCUGUGAACUUCGUAGAGGUCACAAAGGUAUAGCCUACGUCACACACCUGAGCUAUAGGGUGCUGUGUAAAGAGUAAGCGCACGCACAUGUACACAUACCAGACAUACACACAUAUAAUGGUGUAUUCUGUUG